ACACACAGGAAUGUGAGUUCUUUCGGGGUGGGGCCACCGUUUCAAAACUUAAGGAGAUUUGAAGGUGACAACAACCGUUUUACAACCGAUCUGAUUGCAUCAUAUAUCAGGAAGAUAUUGAUAAGCUCCAUGAAUGGCCACAAAAAAGAGAAAUGCUGCAUCAUGCAUACGGGGAAACAAAAGGAAGAAGAUCUUCCGUAGUUAUUAUCUGAAUAAUCAUUCUUUGGCAACGGUUCCUCCAUGAGUGGAUCAUUAGCAGUAUUUGUCACGAUUCUUUCUUUCUCACAAAUUAAAUUAAAAGUCGUAAAAAUUUCAAGCUGUACAUAGGUUUGUGCACAAACAAGAUGCGUCCACAGAGCAUCGCUUUGUACAUGAGUCAUCGCUCUCUAGUCCCUCGACUGGAAAUUCCUCACGUACAGGGCUUGUUUGUUGCACCGCAAGCUUGCAGGAGACUCCAGGUUCGACUCAGUGAAACCGUCAAACAGGCCCGCCGUUGUCUGCUGAAACCAUUGAGAUCAGUGACCGAUUAAUUGUCAAGUUUUACCGUUAGAUCUAGAACGAAGUUCUGUGGGCAAGCGAGUAAGAAGAUUCCUCAAAGGCGCCCAAGGCACUGUCGCUCGCAAGCUUGAAGAAACAUACGGUGGCAACACUGACAGUUUUAGAGCUGGGACGAAAACCCUAGAGGAAUAUUCUGGAUAAAACCCACAAAAUCAGGCAGUUCAGUGCAGCUGGAGUAUAACACGUAAGGAGUGCCUUUAUUAACGCUGAUCCUGAGCAACCAACGAUGGGGGGGUUUGACGAUGUGUACUUGAUGUGGCUGGCCGGGCAAAUUACUCCAAAGGAGAGGGUUCCCUUGGGCUUGCUACUGGGCUUCAACAAUGCCGAUCUGGGUCGCUAUGAGGCCGAUUAUCAAAGAGACGUGAAGCUGCAGAUAUAUCAUAUGCUGGUCGACUGGCGUAACGGGAUGGAGGGGGGCGACUCGGCCAAAGUGGAGCAGCUAGGCAAGGUCCUAGUUCAAGUUGGACGCACUGACUUGAACAAAAUACUGCUCAGUGAUUUUGGUCAUGGCAUUUAAAAAAAGGCUGUAGGGGUUGGUUUUUUUUUUCAUUCGUAAAAAAGUGCUCCCCAAAAGAAAGGUGAUAAGUGCCAUUUCGAGAAAAAAGCUUGUGGUUUCAAUUAUGAAAGGAAAAAAGAAACUUACAAUAUAUUUUAGCCCCCUCCCGAUACACUGUUGCUGAGGUAUAUAGUUGGAAUGCCCAUUUCUGUCCAAUGCAACGAUGGUUUUGAAUACUGCACGGAAGCCGUGCACUAUUAUUGUAUUAUUAAGUAUUUUUGACUCUGUAUGCUACAAAUUGGAAGGACAUUUUGCCGUAGAUUUGUUCGACCACAGAAAAACAAGAUGAAUUUUAUAUACAUGUUUAUGCACUCAGAUAUAUAUGAUCAAAUGUUUACUUUCAUUCUUGUUAAAAGCAGAAUUAUUGUGACAAAGAAUGUCACGUAUAUUAACAUUCCUCCCCUGAAUCGUCUAUCCAAAGUAGAAAUAUUUGCCUGUCUUAUACCGGGUUUGCCAAAUUGCCAGUUUUAGAAAUGUUCACAAAGAUGGUUUAAAACCUGUGUUUGUAAAAACCACCAUAAAGCCAUCCGAAAGAAUCGUUCAGUGCGGAUUAAUACUGGGAAUGGUGAUUGAUAAUGACUUCGACCAUUGUACUUAUUAAAAAUAUACACUUUAAAAACUUUUCUUGGUUUUUUUUUCCAGUGACCUUAAAUAUACAAAAUAAUAAUAAUUGCUUAACACCAACACAAUUCGAAGUUCUGCUUCUUUGAUCUUUUCACAACUUUUUGGGAAUGAAAUAACAAUUUUUCUCUGGGAGGGUGCUACGACCGACUUCACAAAUGGCACGUGCAUGGGGCUGACAUGGGAGAGACGUUGCAAGAUGGUGAAGGAAGCUGCAGCCAAUUGCGAAAUUGUGUUUUAUGCAAAACACAAUUUGUGAGUUUUUUUAUUUGUUGCUUGCAGCGUGGACAACGCGUAAGUGCUCUCUGAAACUGUAUGUUUCCAGCAGCCCAAUACGGGCGUUUCACAACAGAGCGGCUCCAGGAGGUUGCAACGCAUUGACCAAUCACAAUGCGUUUGCAAAGGGUUGAUAGAUCUUGGAGGCCCGCUAUUGUGAAUCGCCUGUAUUUCUCUAAAUCACCAGUCGGUUUAAAAGAUCAGUAGUUCUUUUUCGUGUGAAAUUUCAGCAAAAUUAAUGUCCUUCAUCUGAAUUUCAGUUUCACAAGAAGGCAUUCCUUUUCAUCUUGUGAACGUUCUAUUACACAUUGUAAUAGGCUGCUAAAUAUGUUAAUAGUGCAUUCAACUCCGCAAAAUUGUCGUAUUCGAAGAGUUCGGGGAAACUGUUUCGCACAUGCGCAAACAAAAAUAACUCAGAUUUAUUCCAAGUACAAGACAGAAUUCCAACGAAGAGACUUGCCAUCCUAUAAAUUCGCAAUAAGUUGCUACACAGUUCUACAGGGUGUCCCGGAAAAACCAAACCCAAAGGAAAGGGGUUAAUAUGCCCAAAUCAUAAUAUAUUAUUAUAAUGCAUAAGGAUCUCCGAAAAGUCGAAGCAGUAUUCUUUCUAAUGAUACCUUGAUGGUAUCCCUCCUGGCAUGCAUGACUGAACACCAUUGUCUUGAAAAUGGGACAUCCGAACUCAGUUGUAACACCCUGAAGUUUUCUUUCGACAUUAGCUUCAAAUGAACCCGAACAAUGGCUGCACACGGACACUACUAAACUACUCCCAGAGUUGGCAGAAACUCAAAAUAAAAGGUUUUUGUCUUCCUUUGUUUGGUUUUCAUUUUCACUAGUAUUUUUCAGAGUUGUACUGAGUCAAUAAAUUUGGUGACUCGAGUCAAUUCGAGUCAAGUGACUCGAGUUGAUUCGAUUCCAGUAUUUAGCUCGAGUCAAUUCGAGUCACCAAUAUUUUAACACAAUACAAUGAGUAAAAACAAGAGAGAAAUUUACAUCUGGGUUUAACACAUAUGAACAUCAUAAACCAGCACUGUAGGUCGUUGCAAAUAUCUUUUUUUUCGCAAAGAAGUUUGUUUUGUUUUGGGGACUCAAAUCUUUUUUAGAAUUUUCACUCGAGUCAGGUUUUCAGAUGAGGGAGUCGAGUCGAGAAAUUUGCUCGCAGUGAAACGAGUCGAGUCAUUUACCCUUCGGGACCUGAGUCAAGUCCAGUCGCCAAAAAUUAAUUGUGACUCGAGUCGGACUCGAGUCGAGUCAUUGGCUCGAGCCAUUACAACUCUGUUAUUUUGCCUCACAUCAGAGUGGUAACGAGUGACUCCUUGAGUCGACUCGAGUCACUAUAACGUAUAUUAACUCACUCAAGUCAAGUCUUUGGGCAAAUAAGUCGGUUCGAGCCCAGCAGGGCGUUACCUUUGAGUCGUACAUUUCUUGGAUUAAGAUUGAAUAGGCUUUACUCCUGCCAAAGGGGUCCAACUCAUAACUUAAAAGUUCUGUACUUGUCAAGGUUGUCACGGUGUCGUGAUUUUGUGCGGCUGAUGUUUUCAUGUAUCCGAGACAGUGUAUGUUAGUUUGCACAGAACUGUCUGUUUUAGAGCUCUCUGAGUGAGUUUCUCACCCUGAGCUGCCACGCAGGCAUGACACUAGAGAAUUGCAGGUGGUUGACAAGAACUGAGCAUCCCACCCAAACACAAAGUCUGCAGUGUCAAGAAAAAGAGACCGGGACUGUCAAGGGAGAGCGGGACCAUCAAGGGAGGCCAAGGACCGUCGAGGGGGACCAGGACUGAGACGGAGGACCAGGAACGAACGUCCAGCCUGCAGGUCUUCACCAGAGACUGACUUCUUGAGAUCUCGCCACCAGUGAAAGUUGACAACCUCGCCCCUUCAAAGACUGCCGCAAGUAUACUGUAGACCCUCGCGUCACCCAGUAAGACCUGCUAUUGAUGUCGACUGUCCCUACGGUUUCGUGAGACUUGGCCUUUCGUUAUUAUUUAAUCACUGGCAUCUUCAGAAGUAUUGAAAUUUCUCUAUAUGCUGACAUUGGUAGCUAUUUGAUUACGAUUUCAAGUAAUAAAACUGUGAAUGGCUGGGUACUUGAAUCUUGAGUGGAGACAUUCACCUUAGAGUCCAAAAGGAGGCGAUUAAAACAUUGGUUUCUGCAAUUUGGAGCUGAACCGCGGGUUACAUAAAUAUUGAGCCUCAUCGAUGCAUCACACAUACUUACCACUAAAACGAAAUAAUCGUUUUCACAUUUCUAGUACAACCGUGUAGUAUUUGAUAUAGUUACCAAUCCUGUUCCACGGAUCAGCGUCAAAAAUACACACACUGUACUGUUUUUAAAGUCUAAAUUCCUGUGAAUUGUCCAUAACUCUUCUUAUAGAAUGAGGGAAUUACAAUCUAGAUAGUUUUCUCUUGUUGCCAGCGAACCAAGGUCACUGGUAUGGUGCCCAAUUUUUGACACACAUCUUUUCAUCUCAUCAACACGCGACAAUUAAGUUAGCACUGUACGACGGAUCUGCUGCGGCGUUCUGUCCUGUGACGCAGGGCCGGAUCCGUAAAAUUUUUAGUUUAUAUCCCCCCCCCCUCUUUUGGAAAAUUCCUGUUACGUGACGUGUUGGACAUGAAUUGAAUUGUGUUAAAUAGGGCACCAAAUCAGAUUCCAGUGCAGAUCAAACUCACCUUCCUGUAAAAAAAAGUACAAUAAAUAUGUGGCACAAAGCAGCUUCCUUUGAUUCUGGCGACGUAGCGGUUUUUUUUUCGUGAUUCUGGAGGGAAACUGAAAGCCAGGAGACCUAACAAUCACACUUCCCGUCAUAUAUUGCAUGAACCAGACUGUCUUGCUUUUCACGACCAACGGAAAUACCACACCACUCCACCCGACCCCACAACACUUCACCCCUAUUGUUUCAGAGUUACACCGUUCUAUCUUCAACGUGGCUGUGUCACAAAAUGGUACAGCCUACAGUACUUUUCAGUUUGCAUUCCUCACUACUGUCAAUGAAUCUUUUUAUAGAAAUUUGGGAAUUACCGGCUGGGUGUUUUUCUUUAUGUUGCCUGUGAUGUUUCUAUGAACAAAGGUCACCGAUGUCGUGACACAGCGACAUGCACUCAACAGCCCGUCCGUGCCAUCCCAUCGCGUGGUACACUGAGGCAAGAAUAGGCAACUAGAGGGAGGCAUCAUGAGCGGUGGCGGAGGUCCGGGUACUAACUCUCAACAACCCAAGGAGGAUCUGGACAACUCGUACCUCUUUUGGCUAGCUGGGAAUGUUACACCAAAGCAAAGGUUUUCCUUGGGCCUAAAACUGCACUUCAGCCCUGCCGAGAUCGCGGUUUUUGAGGAGGAUUAUCGCGGAGACACCAAGAGACAGAUUUUUGAGAUGCUGGUCAGGUGGCACAACCGACAGGAGGGAGACGAGCUGUCCAAAGUUAGGCUACUCGGUCAGGCUCUGGCCGAUGAUGAGGUUGGACGCGCUGAUCUGAAGAAAAUCUUGUACAAAGAUUAUCAUGUCGAAAUGGGUCGGUAAAGGGGAGAAUUACCCACUGUUUUGCCAAGUCAAAUGCGUUGUUCUUCAGGUGGAGUCAAUUCGAAUAAUUGAAAAUUCGAAUAUUCGACAAUCGAUUCAAUCAAAUAUUUCUGUAUUCCUGCAAACUUAGAUACAAAAUAUGCACACUCUUACCAAAAGUAAAAACGAAAACUUGAAAAAAAAUUUGAAGAAAAAGUAAUUUUGGGCUUAUUAAGCAAUUCUAGCAGCAUAUUAUUGUUAAGUGUUGUGAGCUAACCAAAAAGCAGCUGAAUGGUCAUGACCAAGAUUAGACCCAAUUAUACUUUUCCUUCAAAUGAAAUACAAUUGAAUGUGAUUACUUGAUUUCUCCCUUUUUUAUUUCAUUGAUUUUUCAUCUUCGAAUGGUCAGUUAGAAUUUUGGAAUAUAUAGGAAUAUUCUAUAAGUGGUCAUAUUUUCGAAUACUCUUCUAUCGGCACAAUUCCAAGUUAUUCUCUGGCGGAAAAAGAGGUACGAGACGGUGGUUUGAUUGAUUCUCUAACCUCAAUGAUUAACAGAUCUCUUACUUCAGAUUAAGUUCCCAUUGGCAUGAAGACGGCUAAAGUUACCCCGCUAUUUAAUGCAUGUGACCCAUUGGAGGUAGGCAAUACUGUCCUAUCUCUAUUCUCUCAGCUUUGAGUAAAAUCCUCGAACGUGCUGUCUUUGACCAACUUUUUGAAUUUAUGAAUGACAAGUAGCUGUUACAUCCAAAUCAGUCCGGUUUUAGGCCUCAGUACUCAACAAUGACAAUUUGACGAAAAUGGUCACACACUGGAGUCAAAACAUUGAUGCUGGCUUGCUGACCGGUGUGGCAUUUAUCGAUCUCCUUAAGGCAUUUGACACCAUAGAGUACUCGACUCUUCUUGCCAAACUAAAAUCGCUGGGCUGCUGCACCAGUACAUUAAACUGAUUUGCAAGUUUUCUUUCGGGACGUGUCCAUCAACGAGACUUUCUCUACAUCUCAGAAUGUUGUCAAUGGUGUCUCCAAGGCACUGUAUUGGGUCUUUUGUUAUUUUCGAUCUAUAUGAAUUUUAUGCCCUCAUCGGUAAGCAAAAGUAACGCGGAUGUAUGCUGAUGAUAUAUGUGACCCAUUCUGUGAAAAUGAGUCUUAAGUCACCAGAGCCAUUUUCUGAGUUUUCAUUUGUAUUGGAAAGAGGAAGUGAGUUU
This 6712-nucleotide unclassified non-coding RNA is filed under the name Acanthaster planci (crown-of-thorns starfish). RNAcentral describes it as "uncharacterized LOC110986540, transcript variant X1". Lineage: Eukaryota; Metazoa; Echinodermata; Asteroidea; Valvatida; Acanthasteridae. The record is from RNAcentral.